GUGAACGCUGGCGGUAGGCCUAACACAUGCCAGUCGCACGGCAGCACAGUAAGAGCUUGCUCUUACGGGUGGCGAGUGGCGGACGGGUGAGGAAUACAUCGGAAUCUACUUUUUCGUGGGGGAUAACGUAGGGAAACUUACGCUAAUACCGCAUACGACCUACGGGUGAAAGCAGGGGAUCUUCGGACCUUGCGCGAUUGAAUGAGCCGAUGUCGGAUUAGCUAGUUGGCGGGGUAAAGGCCCACCAAGGCGACGAUCCGUAGCUGGUCUGAGAGGAUGAUCAGCCACACUGGAACUGAGACACGGUCCAGACUCCUACGGGAGGCAGCAGUGGGGAAUAUUGGACAAUGGGCGCAAGCCUGAUCCAGCCAUACCGCGUGGGUGAAGAAGGCCUGCGGGUUGUAAAGCCCUUUUGUUGGGAAAGAAAAGCAGCAGGUUAAUACCCCGCUGUUCUGACGGUACCCAAAGAAUAAGCACCGGCUAACUUCGG
Molecule: ribosomal RNA, 490 nt
Filed under: uncultured bacterium
Lineage: Bacteria
Description: partial 16S ribosomal RNA
Rfam family: Bacterial small subunit ribosomal RNA
Source: RNAcentral